ACGGGAGGCAGCAGUGAGGAAUAUUGGUCAAUGGACGAGAGUCUGAACCAGCCAAGUAGCGUGCAGGAUGACGGCCCUAUGGGUUGUAAACUGCUUUUGUACGGGAAUAAAGUGACCUACGUGUAGGUUUUUGCAUGUACCGUAAGAAUAAGGACCGGCUAAUUCCGUGCCAGCAGCCGCGGUAAUACGGAAGGUCCGGGCGUUAUCCGGAUUUAUUGGGUUUAAAGGGAGCGUAGGCGGAUUAUCAAGUCAGUGGUAAAAUCGUGUGGCCCAACCAUACCUCGCCAUUGAAACUGUUAGUCUUGAGUGCACGCAGGGAUGCUGGAAUUCGUUGUGUAGCGGUGAAAUGCUUAGAUAUGACGAAGAACUCCGAUCGCGAAGGCAGGUGUCUGGAGUGCAACUGACGCUGAGGCUCGAAAGUGCGGGUAUCAAACAGGAUUAGAUACCCUGGUA
Molecule: ribosomal RNA, 453 nt
Filed under: uncultured Alloprevotella sp.
Lineage: Bacteria; Pseudomonadati; Bacteroidota; Bacteroidia; Bacteroidales; Prevotellaceae
Description: bacterial SSU rRNA
Rfam family: Bacterial small subunit ribosomal RNA
Source: RNAcentral